RNAcentral lists this long non-coding RNA (276 nucleotides) under Gossypium raimondii (Peruvian cotton). Its description in RNAcentral is "long non-coding RNA (GRAI_LNC004267)". The record is from RNAcentral. Lineage: Eukaryota; Viridiplantae; Streptophyta; Magnoliopsida; Malvales; Malvaceae.
GGCGCACUCCCUAGGGGUUCCAAUGAUCUGCCUGUGAGAGAUGAAAAUGGAAGAUCAUGGAAAUUCAACUGCAAGAGUGAAGGAGGCAAUUACUUCUCCCUCAGUGGUGCUGAGUGGAGGAGUUUUGCCAAGUCUAAGGUUAACAAUGCUAGGGUCACUCUUUAUCGGGAAGAAGGUGAGCACGUCUACACCAUUAGGGUUGGAAAGUUUUGAUGAAACCCUUUCAGUUUGUUGAUCUAUAUUUUCUAUGUAGUUAUGUUGGUUAUGGUGUGCUGC